AUUCCUAUGAAAGGAGAAAGCAAUGCAAAAUAAUGAAAAUUUUCCACUGCUUUUCAAAUAGUAACUCUAUGAAUUUCAUUCUGAAAACAUACAACUUAUUAAUUAAUAUGACUCUAGUCACAAUAAAGUUGAUUAAAAAAUUUCAUUUUCAUAAUGCUUAAAAUUUCGGUCUGUAUUUUAUGAAGUGCGUUGAGUCCCAGAAGCUAUUUAGCGCUUUUUGCUGCUUCUAGUUGGCUUUAUCAGUGCCGAAAGAAACUUUUUGAUGUGCUUUACUUAUUCAUACUUGAGGGCGAGAGGAACAUGUCAAAGUUGUCAAGUCGCGAGUGGCCUGGGGGAAUGUUUAAGUGGUUCUCACUUUAUAUGCACAGCCUGGGGAGGGAAGUAAUUUUUCGGACACUUUUGUGAAUUUAUUAUGCUGUCAUAGAUUUAUUGUUUGUCUUUUGGAACACAACUAUCAUGUGCCUAAAAUAUACAGAUUUUUGUGUA
Molecule: long non-coding RNA, 486 nt
Organism: Drosophila nasuta
Lineage: Eukaryota; Metazoa; Arthropoda; Insecta; Diptera; Drosophilidae
Exons: 2
Source: RefSeq, a predicted model, not a curated record